Chelonia mydas (Green sea turtle) is the source of this 511-nucleotide long non-coding RNA. RefSeq lists it as uncharacterized. Lineage: Eukaryota; Metazoa; Chordata; Testudines; Cheloniidae. The transcript has 2 exons. The record is from RefSeq and is a predicted model, not a curated record.
UCUGUGUGUGUUGGGGUGUUGAUAGAUUCACACACACACACACACCCCAGUGACUCUCUCCCCUCCCUGCCCCAGGAGCCCGACCCCAGCGUCCAGGGACUCACCUACGCCGAGCUGGACGUCCAGGUGCUGCAGGCCAAGCGGGGGGGAAAGCUGCCCCUGAGUCUGCCCAGCCCAGCGUGUACGCCACGAUCAACAUGCCCCGGGGGGCCCCGCAGUGAGAGCCCCCUGCAGCCAUGGGGCACCUGGCCCCAGGGGGCGACAGACUCACCCCCCCUGCAGCGCCAGUCCCAGAGAACUCUGCUUCUAAGAAGCUUUAGGGGAGAUGCUGCCCUCCCCCCACUGCUGCCCCGUCCCAUCGAGCUGCUGGCCCCUGCCCCCUCCAGACCCACAUGUAGGGCCGGUGUGGGGGGCUUAGCACCGGGAGGGGGAGAGGAUGUGCCGAGGCUGUCUAUGUUAUUUUGCAUCCUGUUAAUCUCCAGCUUUGUAAUAAACACAGAACCACAAACCA